CGUAGGGGGCAAGCGUUGUCCGGAUUUAUUGGGCGUAAAGCGCUCGCAGGUGGUUCGUUGCGUCGUGCGUGAAAGACCCCGGCUCAACUGGGGAGGGUCGUGCGAUACGGGCGAACUGGAGGCCAGUAGGGGGAUGCGGAAUUCCGGGUGUAGUGGUGGAAUGCGUAGAGAUCCGGAGGAACACCAGCGGCGAAGGCGGCAUCCUGGACUGGUCCUGACACUCAUGAGCGAAAGCGUGGGGAGCGAUCCGGAUUAGAUACCCGGGUAGUCCACGCUGUAAACGAUGCGCACUAGGUGUCGGGGGUAUCGACCCCCUCGGUGCCGCAGCUAACGUGAUAAGUGCGCCGCCUGGGGACUACGGCCGCAAGGCUA
This 372-nucleotide ribosomal RNA is filed under the name uncultured organism. RNAcentral describes it as "bacterial SSU rRNA". It matches the Rfam family "Bacterial small subunit ribosomal RNA", at positions 526 to 896 of the family's 1533-position model. The record is from RNAcentral.